GUUGAGAGGAAUGUUGGCUGGCUCGAGGUCAUGAAGAUGAUCAAUUUCAUUUUAACGAAUGAAGCGAACCUAAAUGAUUCUCGGACCAGGCUUCAUUCCCCCCAAC
Molecule: microRNA precursor, 106 nt
Filed under: Capsella rubella
Lineage: Eukaryota; Viridiplantae; Streptophyta; Magnoliopsida; Brassicales; Brassicaceae
Description: mir-166 microRNA precursor family
Rfam family: mir-166 microRNA precursor family
About the family: This family represents the plant microRNA (miRNA) precursor mir-166. Animal miRNAs are transcribed as ~70nt precursors and subsequently processed by the Dicer enzyme to give a ~22nt product.
Source: Rfam by way of RNAcentral